CCGUGUCUAAUAUGAGGUCUGUCAUGGAGAUUGAUGAUCAGCGCGGGCUUGCGCAGAUCGUACACAACACCUGGAUGAGUCAACGCACGCUGAUAGCCGAGUAAUAAGCCUGAGGUCGCUUACUCUCGGAGAUGGAGUUCAUAGCCCCUUCUUUAUUUUUCCUUUUCUGUUUCUUCCUUCUUUUUUGCUACGUUAGAACUCGCUGAGGCCCAUGAGCCUCCUGGCUCGUCUGGGCCUUACGAGCUCUCGCGAGCUUGUAACAUAAGAUAACAUAAACCGAACAGGACAAGCCUACAACAUUCGUUCCAAAAGGACGUUAGAAGCGCCCUGCAUUCCGCUAAGGUACAGCUUGUUAGCUAUUUGGACGGAACAUUCUCUUUUGCGUUCUUUUCCGAGUACCUCUUACACUGCUUGUCCUGCGCAUCCUUUACAUGUAUUACGGCUAAGGGAUCCCUUCCGGAUGAUGGAGAAUGUGCUUUAUGCUUGACCAAUUACACAUCACGAUCAGCAUCGAUUAAGCGGCUGCAGGAGCUGGUACCAGCUGGUAAGUGCUGAGGGCCCGAUCCACCGCCGGGAGGACGACUUCCUGAGGCAAACACGACGGACAUCCCGAACGGUGCUUACAUCCGUGUUAUGGAAAAUUGCUCUUACGUGUCUGGACCGGACGGAUGGACAUGAGGCAACUUUCUUAUCGCAUAUACAGGGCAUGCAACGGUAUGUGUUAACCAUGGAAGGCAACAAUUUUCUUUCUAGUUGGUCACCAGGUCAUAGUGAUUUAUCCCUUUGUGUUCAGUUCUUAGGGUUUAACCUCAUGCCCGCCCGUACCGGAAAAGUGUUUUCCGAUACGGCGGUGUCAGGAGGUGGUAUCUACGUCGUCUUAGGGGCAACCCUAAGACCAAGGGGAUGAACGAAUAGAUAUAAUUUCUGUUUCUUGGCUGCAGCAAGUGUUGUCCUGGGCGCAACGUUGAUGGCCUGUUGCCGACGCGACCUCCUAUACGACAAUGCUAGGCAAACGCAGCGGAUGUUCAUGAAUUACUUAGGCGUUCAUAUUACUCGUCACUGCUUCAACGGCACUGGACUGGGCGGAUGUAAGACGUGCGUUGGUGGACGCGAUGGCCUUACGAAGGGGGAGAAAGACGCUUAGGAGAUGCUUGGAUUGUUAUGUACAAGUCACGGACGGGGACGUUUAACUCUUUGAAUGCUGAAUUUUAGCUACUAGUCGGGUUCUGAACUUCGCCUGUUGUUGGUUCCGCCCGUACAGGAAAAGUGUCUUCCGAUAUGGCGGUCACAGCAGGUGGUAUCCACGUCGACUUGUAUGCAAACCAAAUACAACCAGGGGAUGAUAUGACAGUUCUGGAGUGCAUGUUUCUUGGCCGCAAGCAGCAGCAAACUUAAAUCGCGUUGGGCCAUUUGCCCAGGCUGCCGCAUGGACGACAAGUCAGGCUAAUGCCGCUGAUAUCCAUGAAGGGUUCAUUACGUGCUGAAUAUGAAAGAUUGCUACGAAGACUCUGGCCCUGACGGAUGUGCAUUGUAACGAAGGAAACGGAUGCAGAGGUAGCACCGCGGCGCAUGGAACGCUAAGUAAGGAUGAUGGACUGUAAGCGUUAAUAUUCGGAGCAGGGAUUUCUGUCUUUUCGCUCGGUUCUGAAAGUCUAACGUCGCUUGCGCACCCCGUUUGUUCGGGGAACGUACUUAGAUCUGAUACGGCUCACCCGAUUAGCAAUAAUGCUUUCUAUGCUUGCAUAACCAUUUUGCAAACACAGACCAUUAUGCCAAAUCUUUGCUGUAAUGCCUCUGGCCCAGAUGACAUGGCAUGUACAACAUGUGAAAUAGACUCUGCUGCCCUGCUGCAGUGCACUUCAAUCCUUUAUUUGUACAUAAUAUUCGUUUAAUAUGAAAGGUGACUUCUUGCCAGAGGGUAAUGAUCGGAGACCUACUUAUGGCAUCCCAUGGAUUAUGCGGCAUGUAUCCGCAUCAUUUGUUCUGUGUAAUAGAAUUUGUGUAUUAGAAGAUUCUCGAAAAGCUAUCCUGUUGGUAUUUCAUGGCUGGACUUCCAGUGCUCCAUCCGUACCCAGUGCGGGGCCCGCCCGUCGCCUGCGUAGCUUCGCAA
Molecule: long non-coding RNA, 2110 nt
Filed under: Volvox carteri
Lineage: Eukaryota; Viridiplantae; Chlorophyta; Chlorophyceae; Chlamydomonadales; Volvocaceae
Description: long non-coding RNA (VCAR_LNC001892)
Source: RNAcentral